This is a long non-coding RNA of Tupaia belangeri chinensis (Chinese tree shrew), 1021 nucleotides long. RefSeq lists it as uncharacterized. Lineage: Eukaryota; Metazoa; Chordata; Mammalia; Scandentia; Tupaiidae. The record is from RefSeq and is a predicted model, not a curated record. The transcript has 3 exons.
AUAGAGAAGGGAUUGUGGCAUGACUGUCCCCCUGGGAGGGACUGAAACCUCUAGGAAAACGAGAGAAUAGCCUGUUUGGAGGACAACAGGGACAGCGGGCUGCCUCCACAUCCCCCUCCUGCUGGCCCUGUGCGUGGUCUAGCUAAUCCUGAGAACGUGAUGAGCUAUUCUAUGAGAAAGAAGAGAAUAGAGAGAAAAAGGGGCAAGGGGGCAUGCAGGAGAGGAGAAAGAAACAAGGGCGGAUGGUCCGGGAUGGAUGGUCGGAAGUGGAGGCGACAAUCUCUGAGUUCGUGUGACAGCCACGUGACAACGGAUCUCACACGUGAACUUGGUUGGAGCACACGGUGCUCAGAUAUCUGGUUAAACGUCAUUUCUGGGUGUGUCUGUGAGGGUGUGUUACCUGGAAGAGGCUGGCAUUUGAACUGGUGGACUGAGUAAGGUAGAUGGCCCUCCGGUGUGGGACAAAUAGGACAAAGAGGGGGAGGAAGUCAGUGGUCUCUCUGCCCACCUGCUGGGGCUAGGACAGCCCGUCUCCUUCCCCUGCCCUCAGACUGCAAUUUCCACCUCUGGUUUCCCUGGCUCUCCGUCCAGCCGACUGCAGAGCCAGGGACAUCUCAGCCUCUGUGAUCACAUGAGUAAUUGGCUUUAUCUCUGUAGAGAACCCCAGCACACUCGGUGAGGCCAAGAAGUCCCGACAGGCUAAGUGAUCACGUCAACAAGCUUUCUGCAUCAAAUGCCAAAGUCAGCAUCUGCCACUGCGUCCCCUGCAAACGAUCUCCAGAAUUGAUGUGUAGGGGAGGGAUGCUUUGGGGUUCCAGACCCCGACACCAAAUUCCUCGCUAGUCCCUGGGGCACAGUGGGAGUUGGCAAAGGCAUGGCUGGCAGGAGAUGCAUGAACAGGCUGCUCACCACUGGAGGGUGCAGGGAGAUCGAGCCCAGACCCAGGUGGGCUCGGUCACUCUCUGUGGCCUUCAGCAAAUCUCAGCCACUCAUGCUGAGGCUGUACUGUGUUCACGGUGUA